This 225-nucleotide long non-coding RNA is filed under the name Trifolium pratense (red clover). RNAcentral describes it as "long non-coding RNA (TPRA_LNC002667)". The record is from RNAcentral. Lineage: Eukaryota; Viridiplantae; Streptophyta; Magnoliopsida; Fabales; Fabaceae.
AACUGAUCGUGUUGACCAGAAUGAUGCGACUUCGCCGGCGUUUGCGGUGGUUGAGAGCGUUUGAGACCCCUGUUGAAGCGGAGGGGGGUUGUGUACCUGCAGGCACUCCGACGCUCAAGUCAGUUUGUGUAUAAGGUUUUCUUGGCUAAAAUAAUGCGUACCUUGCAAAUGAAGUGGAGUCACAUAUAUAUAGCCCCCAGCGCUGGGCCAAGACCCUUGAUGNNN